UGCCAGCCGCCGCGGUAAUACGGAGGGUGCGAGCGUUAAUCGGAAUUACUGGGCGUAAAGCGCACGCAGGCGGUUUGUUAAGCUAGAUGUGAAAGCCCCGGGCUCAACCUGGGAAUUGCAUUCGAAACUGCCUCACUAGAGUCUAGCAGAGGGAUGGGGAAUUCCGGGUGUAGCGGUGAAAUGCGUAGAGAUCCGGAGGAACAUCAGUGGCGAAGGCGCCAUCCUGGGCUAAGACUGACACUGAGGUACGAAAGCGUGGGGAGCAAACAGGAUUAGAUA
This 279-nucleotide ribosomal RNA is filed under the name uncultured bacterium. Its description in RNAcentral is "partial 16S ribosomal RNA". It matches the Rfam family "Bacterial small subunit ribosomal RNA", at positions 506 to 784 of the family's 1533-position model. The record is from RNAcentral.